CCUACGGGAGGCAGCAGUGAGGAAUAUUGGUCAAUGGGCGGAAGCCUGAACCAGCCAAGUCGCGUGAGGGAGUACGGCCCUACGGGUCGUAAACCUCUUUUGCCGGGGAGCAGUGCCCAGCUCGUGAGCUGGGAGGGAGCGUACCCGGAAAAAAAGCAUCGGGUAACUCGGUGCAAGCAGCCGCGGUAAUAGGGAGGAUGCGACGGUUAUCCGGAUUUAUUGGGUUUAAAGGGUGCGUGGGCGGGCUUUCAGGCCGGCGUGAAAAUUCCGGGGUUCAAGCCGGCCGAGCCGUCGGUACCGGGGGACUUGAGUACAGGAGAAGUAGGCGGAAUGUGUGGUGUAGCGGUGAAAUGCAUAGAGAUCACGCAGAACCCCGAUUGCGAAGGCAGCGUACCGGCCGGUCACUGACGCUGAGGCACGAAAGCGCGGGUAUCGAACAGGAUUAGAUACCCGGGUAGUC
This 460-nucleotide ribosomal RNA is filed under the name uncultured bacterium. RNAcentral's name for it is "partial 16S ribosomal RNA". It matches the Rfam family "Bacterial small subunit ribosomal RNA", at positions 338 to 795 of the family's 1533-position model. The record is from RNAcentral.